RNAcentral lists this ribosomal RNA (446 nucleotides) under uncultured bacterium. RNAcentral describes it as "partial 16S ribosomal RNA". It matches the Rfam family "Bacterial small subunit ribosomal RNA", at positions 338 to 795 of the family's 1533-position model. The record is from RNAcentral.
CCUACGGGGGGCUGCAGUCGAGAAUCAUUCACAAUGGGGGAAACCCUGAUGGUGCGACGCCGCGUGGGGGAAUGAAGGUCUUCGGAUUGUAAACCCCUGUCAUGUGGGAGCAAAUUAAAAAGAUAGUACCACACGAGGAAGAGACGGCUAACUCUGUGCCAGCAGCCGCGGUAAUACAGAGGUCUCAAGCGUUGUUCGGAAUCACUGGGCGUAAAGCGUGCGUAGGCUGUUUCGUAAGUCGUGUGUGAAAGGCGCGGGCUCAACCCGCGGACGGCACAUGAUACUGCGAGACUAGAGUAAUGGAGGGGGAACCGGAAUUCUCGGUGUAGAAGUGAAAUGAGUAGAUAUCGAGAGGAACACUCGUGGCGAAGGCGGGUUCCUGGACAUUAACUGACGCUGAGGCACGAAGGCCAGGGGAGCGAAAGGGAUUAGAUACCCGGGUAGUC